UUGACGGAAGGGCACCACCAGGAGUGGA
RNAcentral lists this non-coding RNA (28 nucleotides) under Lentinellus montanus. Lineage: Eukaryota; Fungi; Basidiomycota; Agaricomycetes; Russulales; Auriscalpiaceae. RNAcentral also lists the same sequence under 17 other names. The record is from RNAcentral.